Lagopus leucura (white-tailed ptarmigan) is the source of this 215-nucleotide long non-coding RNA. RefSeq lists it as uncharacterized. The record is from RefSeq and is a predicted model, not a curated record. Lineage: Eukaryota; Metazoa; Chordata; Aves; Galliformes; Phasianidae. The transcript has 3 exons.
UUGCCUCUAUUGGAGUCUUCUGGUGAGCUCAGCUGAAGGGUUUCCUCUGGCACAAACAUGUCCCACAUCACCAAUAUUAAUUCAGUUCCUUUGUCAUCAGUUUCAGGACCAACUAAUUUUGCUUACCACCUUAAAAUGGCCAAAUGAUAACUGGAGGUAAACAAGAUAUGAAGAAAAAAAUGGAACAGAGGAAAUGUUUAAUGUUUUUUCUUAGA